AGAGUUUGAUCAUGGCUCAGAGCGAACGUUAGCGGCGGGCCUAACACAUGCAAGUCGAACGAGAAUGUAGGCUUCGGUCUACUAGUAAAGUGGCAGACGGGUGCGUAACACGUGGGUAAUCUACCUUCCGGCGGGGGACAACAGUCCGAAAGGAUUGCUAAUACCGCGUACGUCAGCGGCGCCUACGGGCGCUGUUGGGAAAGAUGGCCUCUCCUUGGAAGCUAUCACCGGAAGAUGAGCCCGCGCCCCAUCAGCUAGUUGGUGAGGUAAUGGCUCACCAAGGCUAAGACGGGUAGCUGGUCUGAGAGGAUGAUCAGCCACACUGGGACUGCGACACGGCCCAGACUCCUACGGGAGGCAGCAGUGGGGAAUAUUGGGCAAUGGGCGAAAGCCUGACCCAGCCACGCCGCGUGAGUGAUGAAGGCCUUCGGGUCGUAAAGCUCUGUGGGGAGGGACGAACAAACUCUGGGCUAAUCACCAGGGUCCUGACGGUACCUCCUUAGCAAGCACCGGCUAACCCUGUGCCAGCAGCCGCGGUAAUACAGGGGGUGCAAACGUUGCUCGGAAUCAUUGGGCGUAAAGCGCACGUAGGCGGUCUGUUAUGUCGGAUGUGAAAGCCCUUGGCUUAACUGAGGAAGUGCAUCCGAAACUGGCAGGCUAGAGUACUAAAGAGGGUCGCGGAAUUCCCGGUGUAGAGGUGAAAUUCGUAGAUAUCGGGAGGAGCACCGGUGGCGAAGGCGGCGACCUGGGUAGAUACUGACGCUGAGGUGCGAAAGCGUGGGGAGCAAACAGGAUUAGAUACCCCAGUAGUCC
This 813-nucleotide ribosomal RNA is filed under the name uncultured bacterium. RNAcentral describes it as "bacterial SSU rRNA". It matches the Rfam family "Bacterial small subunit ribosomal RNA", at positions 8 to 796 of the family's 1533-position model. The record is from RNAcentral.